Molecule: long non-coding RNA, 766 nt
Organism: Rhincodon typus (whale shark)
Lineage: Eukaryota; Metazoa; Chordata; Chondrichthyes; Orectolobiformes; Rhincodontidae
Exons: 2
Source: RefSeq, a predicted model, not a curated record
AGCCCGCGCGCACCUUGGAGACGGUUUGCACAAACCGUCCCUGAAAUCUAUUUCUGUUAUUCCGAGGGAAUUGCGGAAAUUUCGCUUUCUAAUCUCAACGCUGGGCAUCAGUAUAUGGGCGCGUAAUAAGGAGUGGGUUAAUGAUUUGAGUUCUGAUAUUUGCUGGUGGUAGAAAUGAACAGAUGGUGUUUGAAAACAUUAUAUGAAACAGUUUGCUCACGAACAGAAAACAACUCACCCAGACUCCAAACCAGUGACCUCUGCCACCUAGAAGGGUAAAAGCAGAAGAUGUUCUGAAGAUGCUGCCAGACCUGCUACAUAUUUCCAGAUUGGAUGUAUGUUUUUGAACAUCCAAUGAUGUUUUUCAUGUUGAAUUUCAAGAUCCAUGAAUGAUGCACACUUCUGCAAGUUCAUAAUUGUCAAAGAGAACAAACUGACCAAGAAAGUAGUGGAUCUGUUACUGAACUAAGAAAAUUGAAGUCCCAUCAUGGCAUCUAGAGAAUUUGAGUCAAUGUUAAACAUUUUGAAAUGUUAAAAACUGGUAUCAGUAAAAUUGACUUUGAAGGUUUAGGAUUGUCAUAAAAAUCCAAAUGAUUCAGUAAUGACCUUUAGAGAAUUAACUAUGUCUGCUGGUCUUUAUGUGAUUCUAGUUUCUCACACCCAAUAUGGUUGAUUCUUAACAGGAUCUGAAGUAGUCCAGUAAGCCACUCAUUUGCAAUAAAAUGCCAACAUCUCACAAAUAAAUAGAGGCAAAAUAUUUUUAAAA